This is a long non-coding RNA of Zingiber officinale, 769 nucleotides long. RefSeq lists it as uncharacterized. NCBI's taxonomy places the organism in Eukaryota, Viridiplantae, Streptophyta, Magnoliopsida, Zingiberales, Zingiberaceae. The record is from RefSeq and is a predicted model, not a curated record. The transcript is spliced from 3 exons.
UCUUCCUCCCCGCGUGUGCCGAACCCGAGCCCUAACUGCUCGGAACAGUUUCUCCUCCUCUUCAUUUCUUCUGCCCGAGCCGCUAACCCUUCUCCCCUCACCUUGCGACAGCGUCGGUUCUUCCGCCUCCUUCCCAGCGCCAAGCGCCGCCGAGUUUCCUCCUACCGAGGCUGCGCUCUAGCUUCUCCGCCGUCCGUCGCCGUCGAACGGAGAGCGCCGACCACCCUUCCUCUGCCCUAGACAAACCCCAGCGUCGGCCGCCGUCAACUGUGCCCUAACGUCGGCCUCAUCUUCACUUUCUUCCCUAGCCACCCCAUGCCCUAGCCUCUCCACCUCUGCACACCGCUGAUAGCCGACCCUUUCUUCUGCCUUGGGUUCUGCCGAGCCUUCCUUUCUUCCUCUACCCUCUGACCCAAUGUCCACUGCCGACGCCAAGGUCCAGCAACCUUCUGCCGUGCUUUAGACUCCACUGGCGAGUCUUCCUUCUUCGCCACCAGUCGCCGGCAGAGAGAAAACAGGGGGUGACGAGUAGCAGCCAACAGCCCUUAGCGGCGCAAUUUCCGCUAUCAACUCUUUGAUUCCAGUUCAAAACAGGGGAUGUGAAGUUAGGUAAGGAGUGGGAAUCUUGGUACGUGUUGAGAUGAUGAAGGAACAGUGAACUCUUUCUUCACAGAUCACAGGGGAGUGUUUUGCUAUCCUGCUACUAUAUUAGAGGAUUUUGACGCGAGGUGCGUAUCUCGAUUACCGGAUUGGACCAUUUUAUCGGAGG